GAUGAACGCUGGCGGCGUGCCUAAUACAUGCAAGUCGAGCGAAUGGAUUAAGAGCUUGCUCUUAUGAAGUUAGCGGCGGACGGGUGAGUAACACGUGGGUAACCUGCCCAUAAGGCUGGGAUAACUCCGGGAAACCGGGGCUAAUACCGGAUAACAUUUUGAACCGCAUGGUUCGAAAUUGAAAGGCGGCUUCGGCUGUCAUUUAUGGAUGGACCCGCGUCGCAUUAGCUAGUUGGUGAGGUAACGGCUCACCAAGGCAACGAUGCGUAGCCGACCUGAGAGGGUGAUCGGCCACACUGGGACUGAGACACGGCCCAGACUCCUACGGGAGGCAGCAGUAGGGAAUCUUCCGCAAAGGACGAAAGUCUGACGGAGCAACGCCGCGUGAGUGAUGAAGGCUUUCGGGUCGUAAAACUCUGUUGUUAGGGAAGAACAAGUGCUAGUUGAAUAAGCUGGCACCUUGACGGUACCUAACCAGAAAGCCACGGCUAACUACGUGCCAGCAGCCGCCGUAA
RNAcentral lists this ribosomal RNA (515 nucleotides) under uncultured bacterium. RNAcentral describes it as "partial 16S ribosomal RNA". It matches the Rfam family "Bacterial small subunit ribosomal RNA", at positions 28 to 523 of the family's 1533-position model. The record is from RNAcentral.